RNAcentral lists this transfer RNA (59 nucleotides) under Ictidomys tridecemlineatus (thirteen-lined ground squirrel). RNAcentral describes it as "Spermophilus tridecemlineatus (thirteen-lined ground squirrel) tRNA". It matches the Rfam family "tRNA", at positions 7 to 64 of the family's 71-position model. From Rfam's summary of the family: Transfer RNA (tRNA) molecules are approximately 80 nucleotides in length. Their secondary structure includes four short double-helical elements and three loops (D, anti-codon, and T loops). Lineage: Eukaryota; Metazoa; Chordata; Mammalia; Rodentia; Sciuridae. The record is from Rfam by way of RNAcentral.
AUAGUUCAGUGUUGGAGCGCUUGCCUAGAAUGCAUGAGGUCUUGGGUUAGAUCCCCAAU